Molecule: ribosomal RNA, 492 nt
Filed under: uncultured bacterium
Lineage: Bacteria
Description: partial 16S ribosomal RNA
Rfam family: Bacterial small subunit ribosomal RNA
Source: RNAcentral
AGUGAACGCUGGCGGUAGGCCUAACACAUGCAAGUCGAACGGCAGCACAGUAAGAGCUUGCUCUUACGGGUGGCGAGUGGCGGACGGGUGAGGAAUACAUCGGAAUCUACUUUUUCGUGGGGGAUAACGUAGGGAAACUUACGCUAAUACCGCAUACGACCUACGGGUGAAAGCAGGGGAUCUUCGGACCUUGCGCGAUUGAAUGAGCCGAUGUCGGAUUAGCUAGUUGGCGGGGUAAAGGCCCACCAAGGCGAAGAUCCGUAGCUGGUCUGAGAGGAUGAUCAGCCACACUUGAACUGAGGCACGGUCCAGACUCCUACGGGAGGCAGCAGUGGGGAAUAUUGGACAAUGGGCGGAAGCCUGAUCCAGCCAUACCGCGUGGGUGAAGAAGGCCUUCGGGUUGUAAAGCCCUUUUGUUGGGAAAGAAAAGCAGCAGGUUAAUACCCCGCUGUUCUGACGGUACCCAAAGAAUAAGCACCGGCUAACUUCGUG